Molecule: long non-coding RNA, 354 nt
Filed under: Prunus persica (peach)
Lineage: Eukaryota; Viridiplantae; Streptophyta; Magnoliopsida; Rosales; Rosaceae
Description: long non-coding RNA (PPER_LNC008151)
Source: RNAcentral
CUUUCUGUAAGUAGGCCUUUCCCCUUUCCCCUCUUCUAGCCUCGGGCUCUAUGAUUUCUCUGAUCAUUCUUUGUAAUGCUCCUAUGUCAUUCAAAGCAUUGACGGGGGGAAGAUUUUGUCCCUGCUCUGGCUGAACGUAAUCAAACCUGGGCUCUGCCCUGUGUGGUCUGGGUGGAACUUCCUCCCUGUUUUCUUCCUGCUCUUCGACUUCUAGAUGAUUCCUCCAGUUUGCCCCCGGUCUAUUCCUGUCAUGAUUAGCAAAAAGGUUAUUCCCUCAUCGGCCUCUCCUCCCUCUUGCAGGUGGAGGGAAUGGAUUAGGGUCCAUCCUUCUGGGUCUAUAUGGCAAUACUGCCG